This 511-nucleotide ribosomal RNA is filed under the name uncultured bacterium. RNAcentral's name for it is "partial 16S ribosomal RNA". It matches the Rfam family "Bacterial small subunit ribosomal RNA", at positions 28 to 523 of the family's 1533-position model. The record is from RNAcentral.
GACGAACGCUGGCGGCGUGCCUAAUACAUGCAAGUCGAGCGAAUCAGUGGGAGCUUGCUCCCUGAGAUUAGCGGCGGACGGGUGAGUAACACGUGGGUAACCUGCCUGUAAGACUGGGAUAACUUCGGGAAACCGGAGCUAAUACCGGAUACGUUCUUUUCUCGCAUGGGGAGAGAUGGAAAGAUGGUUCUGCUAUCACUUACAGAUGGACCCGCGGCGCAUUAGCUAGGUGGUGAGGUAACGGCUCACCAAGGCGACGAUGCGUAGCCGAGCUGAGAGGGUGAUCGGCCACACUGGGACUGAGACACGGCCCAGACUCCUACGGGAGGCAGCAGUAGGGAAUCUUCCGCAAUGGACGAAAGUCUGACGGAGCAACGCCGCGUGAGCGAAGAAGGCCUUCGGGUCGUAAAGCUCUGUUGUUAGGGAAGAACAAGUACGAGAGUAACUGCUCGUACCUUGACGGUACCUAACCAGAAAGCCACGGCUAACUACGUGCCAGCCGCCGCGGUAA